UAUAUUUAAGUUAAACUAAGAACCAAAUAAUAAAAAUUUAUAUUAUUAUAUAUAUAAUUAAUUAUUUAUAUAUAUUUAUAUCUAUACUACUUAUAAAAGCGUGAGUUUUGAAAUUUUUUCCUUUCCAAAAAUAUCUCUAUCUUUUUUUUCUAAUAUUGUCAUGUCCAGUAAAUUUCAACGACUCAUUUUAAAGAAAUCUUUAAAUAAUAAUUUAUUCUUAAAUAUAGAUCUUAAGUUUUCGCCAUUAAAUCUCAUCCAACGAAUAAAAAUAAAAGUAUCUGUCAUUUUUGUUGAUAAAAAUACCCUCUAUAUCCGUUAUCUCUUAUCUACGCCGCGUUUCUCACAUAUUUUUUUUCUACCCACCAUACGUAAAACUAAAUUUAUCUCUUAUCUAACGUAAUACCUGCCAAUCAUGCAAUACCUUCGCUAAUCACGUAAUACGUAAAAUUAAAUUUAUUUACUGCUAACAUGUAGUAUUCAAAAUUAAAAUUUAAAUUUGUAAUGCCCGCAUAAAUUUAAUACCCGCGAAUUUGAUAAUUUGAAUUUUAAUUUAUGAUAGUAGGUUUUUCCUUAAAUAAAAUAGUAAAUAUUUUUAACAAAAUAUUCAAUAUUUAAAUAAUGCGUCGUAAAAGCAUAGAAUAUUUUUUUANUUUUUUUUUAAUGAUACCAUGAUAGAUUUUGUGUUCUUUCUUUUAUGAUAUUGUAAUUCUAUUUUUUAUUUCUAUCAUUUUAUUUUAGUAAUAAUUAAAUAUUAUUUAUCGAAUUUAUAAUAUUUAUUUAUAAAUUUUUUUUUUUAGUAUUUGUGUGACGUGCGUUGCACGUGCACUUAACUAGUAAAUAUAAAAAUAUAUGUAUUCGAGUUAUUAUCUAGCCGAACAUGAGCGGGCUGAUCCUAGCUCGUAUUUUGCUCGUUGAAUAAAUGAGCUAAAAAAUUUAGUUUGUAUUCAGCUCGUUAAUUAAACUAAUGAUUCGAUCUCGAGUUCAUUUCUGACCGAACGCAAGCUCAAACUGACUCGCGAACAGUAAGCUCCUAAACGCACAUACAAAU
This 1048-nucleotide long non-coding RNA is filed under the name Ananas comosus (pineapple). RNAcentral's name for it is "long non-coding RNA (ACOM_LNC006049)". Lineage: Eukaryota; Viridiplantae; Streptophyta; Magnoliopsida; Poales; Bromeliaceae. The record is from RNAcentral.